AGGUGAUCUUCUCUAAUACGGAACCCUCCAUAGCCAAACAGGACAGCCUGUAGGAAGCCACCUGCACCUGUUAUGAAGUUAACAGCUCCCUUCCGAUUGAUGUUCUCCGUCCAUACCUGUAAAAGUCUCUGCAUCAGUUAUACUGGACGAAAAGAGAAGAAAAAGAAGGGCAACAGAGUCAGCAUCGACGGAAAAAAGAGGGAACUUUUUGAUAAAGUUAUGAACAAUGGUAGUGGCAACUGGACGAAGACUUUACUGGCUUCAACAUGGCGAGUAAACCUCUAUUCGUAGCUGGACAGAACCACAAUAAAGUCAUGUUGAGAUCGUAGCCAUCAAACUCAGGAUGAUAUUUGAGCUUCUUGUCAAAGGGGAUGUACAUCUGUUCGGCAAUCUUGUUCCAGCGAGUAGGUACCUUGACAGCAAACUCCAGGUUCUGUUUCGCCACCACAUUCGUAUAGAUACUGUUAUCAACAGGAAACUGGUACUCAUCUGGCGGCAUCACGAAAUAAAGAUUGCAAUUGCACGUCAAGAUCGUUAUGGCCUGAUACACUGAUUUACAUAUACUAAUGCUGCUGGUUAUCGCCGUGACGAAGUACCAAGUCUUAUUCUUAACUUUGGCGGCAAUUGUUAGUGACGAGGGGAUCUCCGUCCACGCCACUCCAACUUUGGCUUUGAAUCCACGAGUAUCCUCUGGUUUCCUCACCUGGAGCACACGCAGUAACGUCCGAUGUUAUUGAUGGUCGUACCCGUCGUGCAUAGGUGCCAGGUAAAGAUUCCAUUGUCCCAGACGAGCAAAUGGUAAAAGAUAUUCACCAACUAUAGGUAUUUUCUGAACAAGAAACACGACUACCUUUAGCGCCGGUCAAAUUCCCGUUCAAGAGUCGUGUUUAUGCUACGAAAGAAGUCUACAAUAUCAUCAGCAGAUCGACAGAAACAUUAGCGAAAAUCAUUAGAUUCGGAGUGUCACUAAAACCUACAGGGAUCUCAACAGGACGGCCGUAUGAAGAAGAGUUUCCUACUGACCAAAAAUCCAAGGUCCUCCUUCCUUAUCUAUGGAUUGAUCACCUACACGAUACUACAGUUCAUCUAGCAAUGGGGUACAUUUUUGUUUUCAUAACAUGAUAUCAGUGUGGUAUUCCAUAGUACCGAAAGAGACUUUUUUUACCUUGAGCAUAGUUUAAUUUUCCAUUCCAGACAACGUGUCAUUCUCUAGAGUAUCAUUUCUUUGUUUAACGGUUGUGCAUGCGAAGACACAUGAAUAUGGAUGCAACUCAAACAAAGAAUCUUAUUCUCAAGAGAAACACGUGAUCUCAAAUGGUAAAACAUUUCGCCCCAGAUAAAGAGGUCUUGGCUAACAGGGAAAGAGAAUAUCAAAUUAGUACAAAUUCCAUCGAGAGAAUGUCUGAUUUCUUUUGUAUUUUCAUGUCGGCCACCUUUCCAUACUUCGCCUUGCGCAGGCAUCCUAGACCUCCUAUAUAUCCUAUAUUUCCUAUAAUUUGUAUAGGAUCCUAUAAAGAGCCUAUAUUUAAAGAAAACCUCCUAUAUUUCCUAUAAAUAGGACGACUGCUGAUUGAUACAUUUAUACUUUACACUGUUUAGCAUAUUUGGCGAAGGGAAUAAAUAUUUUUUAUGAUUUGAGUGAUGUAUCUUGAAGAUAUCAAGGUUUAUACCCCCAAUAUUUUAAUGAGUGAUGUCAUUUUAGUGUAUGUUUAGUUAUGUUAUGAGAAAUUAAAUUUGAAUUAACCUUUCUACAAACCCCAAGACAAUGAUUUUGUAUACUUAACAAAUAGACAUCAGUUUUUUGUGUCUGUCCUCUUAUUGACGAUAAAUUGCGUCAUCACAUUGUCAAAGUAGUGUGGAUUCACGAGGCGUCU
Long non-coding RNA from Actinia tenebrosa (Australian red waratah sea anemone), 1874 nucleotides. RefSeq lists it as uncharacterized. The record is from RefSeq and is a predicted model, not a curated record. NCBI's taxonomy places the organism in Eukaryota, Metazoa, Cnidaria, Anthozoa, Actiniaria, Actiniidae.